AAAUUUUCUCAAAAUGUUUAGUUGAAAAUAGGAAGCUUAAAAAAUAUACUUCUCAUAGCAAACCAUGAAAUUCUAUCAUUGCAACCCUGUAACUUGAAAGUACAGUAUUGACGUUGAUGUGUUCGAGUAUGUUUACACCAUUUAAAUUUAGGAAGUUUUUUAAGCAGGAGACAUUUUCCCACUACCACUACUGUAAAGCAUAUAGUACUUGUUUACUCCCUUAAACUAUUGAAAAUAUUGAGUGAUACAUUUUUAAAACCGUGAUAUUAGAAAUUACAAAUAAAUACAAGUUUUACCAGUAUUGCAACGGUAAACUUUAUUUAAAACAUAUUUCAAGCCUAGAUAAACUCAUCAUAAAUACCAAGAUUAAAGUAUUGUACCCCCAGCCUGCGCGUUACGUCUACGAAAGACUCAUCAGUGAUGCUCUAAUCAAAACAGUUAGACAAAACAAAUAAGGUUCGAAAAAUGUAAUAAAGUUUUUCCAAUCGAUUAUAGUGAGGGUACACUAUUACCUUAUUUCCUCAGAUUAGAAAUUUAUACUUGUUUCAAUAACUGCGUUUUUGAAGAUUUAUAAUUAAACAAGAAUGUGUCCAUAGUACACGGAUGCCCCACUCGCACUAUCAUUUUACAUGUUCACUGGACCAUACUUUAAUUUGACAUUAAAAUUAGAAAGACCAUAUCAUAGGGAACAUGUGUACUAAGUUUCAAAUUGAUUGGACUUUAACUUCAUCAAAAACUACCUCGACUAAAAAUUUUAACAUGAAGCGGGACGAACGAACGAACGGACGAACGAACAGAGGCACAGACCAGAAAACAUAAUGCCCCUCUACUAUCGUAGGUGGGGCAUAAAAAGAAAAUUUCAUGGUAUGCUUAAAUCAUUAUUCUGCAAAGAGCUUUAGGCUAGAAUUAUAUAUUAAAUUGAUUAUCACCAAAAACUACGAUAAUAAUAUUACAUGUACUACAAAAUCACAAUUAUUUGCUAAAUUAUGUUUUAACUGACUUUUUUACAAUUUGUAAAAUAUAACAUAACUGUUAACUUGUCAACAACCAACAUGACCGAGGUAACAAAUUCAAUGCAUUACAAACAAAUAUGCAAACCGAAGUUAGAAGUAACAACGGCCAUAUAUGCAAUUGUAUACUGCAACUAUUUCUGUUUAUUUCCUAACUAUAGUAACAAAGCUAUAUUUUGUACAAUGUCAAUUUCAUCAUGGAACACUUUCUCCACAAUCAGGGGUUCAUUAAGCGAUAAAAAUAAGUUUGACAUCUGUGUUACGAUUUAAAAAGUUAUUAAUGAGUUAAUUAAAGUAUAAAAACAAUAUCAGGUCAAUGUCAGAAAAAUAUAAACUUUUUUUCUAUUCGGCACAAAACUUGAGAAUGGCUCGAUACAACCUCGCCCUUCCCAUGUUUCUCAGCCUCAUACAAUUUUAUUUUAUAUUUUUCUGACAUUGACCUAAUAUUGUAUAUUUAUAUGUAUGUCAAUAUAUGUCGUUCAAAAUUUUAAAUUUAAAAAGAGCUUGUUUAUUG
RNAcentral lists this long non-coding RNA (1524 nucleotides) under Mytilus galloprovincialis (Mediterranean mussel). Lineage: Eukaryota; Metazoa; Mollusca; Bivalvia; Mytilida; Mytilidae. The record is from RNAcentral.